UACGGGGGGGGCAAGCGUUGUUCGGAAUUACUGGGCGUAAAGGGUGCGUAGGCGGCUUUCUAAGUUGGAUGUGAAAACUAUGGGCUCAACCCAUAGCCUGCAUCCAAAACUGGAGAGCUUGGGUUCUGGAGGGGAAAGCGGAAUUCCUGGUGUAGCGGUGAAAUGCGUAGAUAUCGUCAAGAACACCUAUAGCGAAGGCAGCUUACUAGGCUGUAACUGACGCUGAGGCACGAAAGUGUGGGGAUCAAACAGG
This 253-nucleotide ribosomal RNA is filed under the name uncultured bacterium. RNAcentral describes it as "partial 16S ribosomal RNA". It matches the Rfam family "Bacterial small subunit ribosomal RNA", at positions 524 to 776 of the family's 1533-position model. The record is from RNAcentral.